UGCCCACCCCAACUCAUGCCCUGACCAGAGACAUAACAAAAGGAACUAAGGUCAGGACGUGACAGACAUAUAAAGGGCAGGUAAUCAAGGAGGUGAUGGAGUCCAGAGGCUGACGGGAGAGAGCGUAUACCCAAGACUCCCCCUGCCUCCCCUACAUAGCCCAGCGCUACGGGUUGAUUGGAUGCCGGUGACAUCACCAGCGAGCGAAAACAGGCCUCUGGAAGGAUUUUGCCCGGAGUGGGACGGUCAAACGCUUUAAUCUCCGAGCUGCAAGAGGGAAGAGUAGAGCAUAUCCUUCCAGAGAGGUUCACAGACAGCCUAUAGAGUGGGCUCUGUUUGAGCAUGGCUGUCUGUGUUCAAGAAGAUGAGAUGUCCUUUCACUCUCGGCUGUAAGGUCGACAUUUGGACAGCUGUCACUCAAUGGUGUCUCUGUCCGAAUUUAAUGAGCCCAAUCCAAAUGUUCUUUAUCAGUCCAACCAUUUUAAGAGUACAGUAUUUCAUUAUGAUUAUAUUAAUAGCUACAUUUAUCAAACAAACCAUUCACUUCUGAACUGUUCCUGAACUGUGCCUGAAGUUUGAAGCACCCUCAAUCACACUCCUCGAGAGAUUAGAAGUAUACAUUAAAUAUGCAAGACUUUACAAACUCAUUGAGAGAGACCAUUGUUGAAUACUAAAGUCCAUAUGCUAGCUUGCACUGAAUACAAAGAAUUCUUAAGUUCAGGAAGAUGAAAUAGUGGUAGAUGGCGGAGAAGUUGAACUGAAAUGUAAACUCUACAGUCUACACUGUAAAUGUCCUUACCUCCAGAAAAUACUUAUGUUGGGAGU
Molecule: long non-coding RNA, 825 nt
Organism: Oncorhynchus keta (chum salmon)
Lineage: Eukaryota; Metazoa; Chordata; Actinopteri; Salmoniformes; Salmonidae
Exons: 3
Source: RefSeq, a predicted model, not a curated record